This is a long non-coding RNA of Pomacea canaliculata, 363 nucleotides long. RefSeq lists it as uncharacterized. Lineage: Eukaryota; Metazoa; Mollusca; Gastropoda; Architaenioglossa; Ampullariidae. The transcript has 2 exons. The record is from RefSeq and is a predicted model, not a curated record.
GUAAGGCCUCUCGCUGCAAGCUAAAACUCGAGCAAGACUCAAGUAGAUGGGGAUGGAGCGGGUGGAUGACGUGUAGAAGAAGGAAGAUGAAGAUAGUCGUUAUCAACUGUUUGCUCGGCUGUCUGUGCACAUACUUCACGUUUACUUUUGCAACCGAAAUAACUAUAAAUAGUCUGCUUUAAUCUCGCACUUCACACAGCGCACCGCGUAUACGCUAAGGAGCAGACGCUGCGAGACGUGGAAGACAAGAGGGAAGACGCAGUGCAAUUCCUGUCGAUUAGUCGAUGACUAAUCACAAACCUUGGUCUGUGAGAACAAGAAGAGACCUUAUUUGACGGUUGGUGAUUCUGGUUUACCUCACUC